Molecule: ribosomal RNA, 253 nt
Filed under: uncultured bacterium
Lineage: Bacteria
Description: partial 16S ribosomal RNA
Rfam family: Bacterial small subunit ribosomal RNA
Source: RNAcentral
GACAGAGGGUGCGAGCGUUGUCCGGAAUCACUGGGCGUAAAGGGCGCGUAGGCGGCUUCUCAAGCGUGUGGUGAAAGUCCGGGGCUCAACCCCGGAUCGGCCGUGCGGACUGGGGAGCUCGAGUUCUGUAGAGGCGGGUGGAAUUCCGGGUGUAGCGGUGGAAUGCGUAGAGAUCCGGAAGAACACCGGUGGCGAAGGCGGCCCGCUGGGCAGAGACUGACGCUGAGGCGCGACAGCGUGGGGAGCAAACAGG